UCUACGGGGGGCUGCAGUGGGGAAUAUUGGGCAAUGGGCGCAAGCCUGACCCAGCAACGCCGCGUGAAGGAAGAAGGCUUUCGGGUUGUAAACUUCUUUUCUGAGGGACGAAGAAAGUGACGGUACCUCAGGAAUAAGCCACGGCUAACUACGUGCCCGCAGCCGCGGUAAUACGGAGGUGGGAAGCGUUCUCCGGAUUUAUUGGGUGUAAAGGGCGUGUAGGCGGGAAAGCAAGUCAGAUGUGAAAACUAAGGGCUCAACCCUGAGCCUGCAUUUGAAACUGUUUUUCUUGAGUGCUGGAGAGGCAGUCGGAAUUCGGGGUGUAGCGGUGAAAUGCGUAGAUAUACGGAGGAACACCAGUGGCGAAGGCGGAUUGCUGGACAGUAACUGACGCUGAGGCGCGAAAGCGUGGGGAGCAAACAGGAUUAGAUACCCCAGUAGUC
Molecule: ribosomal RNA, 443 nt
Filed under: uncultured bacterium
Lineage: Bacteria
Description: partial 16S ribosomal RNA
Rfam family: Bacterial small subunit ribosomal RNA
Source: RNAcentral